RNAcentral lists this ribosomal RNA (469 nucleotides) under uncultured bacterium. RNAcentral's name for it is "partial 16S ribosomal RNA". It matches the Rfam family "Bacterial small subunit ribosomal RNA", at positions 28 to 507 of the family's 1533-position model. The record is from RNAcentral.
GACGAACGUUGGCGGCGUGCUUAACACAUGCAAGUCGAACGGAAAGGCCCUGCUUGCAGGGUGCUCGAGUGGCGAACGGGUGAGUAACACGUGGGUGAUCUGCCCCUUACUUUGGGAUAAGCCUGGGAAACUGGGUCUAAUACUGGAUAGGACCAUGCUGUAGGUGGUGUGGUGGAAAGAUUAGUUUCGGUAAGGGAUGAGCUCGCGGCCUAUCAGCUUGUUGGUGGGGUAAUGGCCUACCAAGGCGUCGACGGGUAGCCGGCCUGAGAGGGUGGACGGCCACAUUGGGACUGAGAUACGGCCCAGACUCCUACGGGAGGCAGCAGUGGGGAAUAUUGCACAAUGGGCGCAAGCCUGAUGCAGCGACGCCGCGUGGGGGAUGACGGCCUUCGGGUUGUAAACUCCUUUCAGCCAUGACGAAGCCCUUGUGGUGACGGUAGUGGUAGAAGAAGCACCGGCUAACUACGUG